UGGGGAAUAUUGCACAAUGGGCGCAAGCCUGAUGCAGCCAUGCCGCGUGUAUGAAGAAGGCCUUCGGGUUGUAAAGUACUUUCAGCGGGGAGGAAGGGAGUAAAGUUAAUACCUUUGCUCAUUGACGUUACCCGCAGAAGAAGCACCGGCUAACUCCGUGCCAGCAGCCGCGGUAAUACGGAGGGUGCAAGCGUUAAUCGGAAUUACUGGGCGUAAAGCGCACGCAGGCGGUCUGUCAAGUCGGAUGUGAAAUCCCCGGGCUCAACCUGGGAACUGCAUUCGAAACUGGCAGGCUAGAGUCUUGUAGAGGGGGGUAGAAUUCCAGGUGUAGCAGUGAAAUGCGUAGAGAUCUGGAGGAAUACCGGUGGCGAAGGCGGCGCCCUGGACAAAGACUGACGCUCAGGUGCGAAAGCGUGGGGAGCAAACAGG
This 429-nucleotide ribosomal RNA is filed under the name Chloroflexota bacterium. RNAcentral's name for it is "Chloroflexi bacterium partial 16S ribosomal RNA". It matches the Rfam family "Bacterial small subunit ribosomal RNA", at positions 355 to 776 of the family's 1533-position model. The record is from RNAcentral. Lineage: Bacteria; Bacillati; Chloroflexota.